RNAcentral lists this ribosomal RNA (468 nucleotides) under uncultured bacterium. RNAcentral's name for it is "partial 16S ribosomal RNA". It matches the Rfam family "Bacterial small subunit ribosomal RNA", at positions 28 to 507 of the family's 1533-position model. The record is from RNAcentral.
GACGAACGCUGGCGGCGUGCUUAACACAUGCAAGUCGAACGGAAAGGCCCUGCUUUUGUGGGGUGCUCGAGUGGCGAACGGGUGAGUAACACGUGAGUAACCUGCCCUUGACUUUGGGAUAACUUCAGGAAACUGGGGCUAAUACCGGAUAGGAGCUCCUGCUGCAUGGUGGGGGUUGGAAAGUUUCGGCGGUUGGGGAUGGACUCGCGGCUUAUCAGCUUGUUGGUGGGGUAGUGGCUUACCAAGGCUUUGACGGGUAGCCGGCCUGAGAGGGUGACCGGCCACAUUGGGACGGAGAGACGGCCCAGACCCAUAGGGGGGCAGGGAGGGGGGAAUAUGGCACAAGGGGGGGAGGCUUGAGGCAGCAACCCCGGGUGGGGGAGGGGGGCUUUCGGGUUGUAACCCGCUUUCGCCUGUGACGAGGGGGGAGUGAGGGUAAGGGGUAAAGAGGCCCCGGCAAACACCGUG